This 27-nucleotide non-coding RNA is filed under the name Mus musculus (house mouse). Lineage: Eukaryota; Metazoa; Chordata; Mammalia; Rodentia; Muridae. The record is from RNAcentral.
UGCCAGCACAUAGAAAGAAGCUUGCUA